GGGCGGUUGGCUCAGCUGGUAGAGCGCUUCCUUCACACGGAAGAGGUCACAGGUUCGAGUCCUGUACCGCCCACCA
This 76-nucleotide transfer RNA is filed under the name Chloroflexota bacterium. RNAcentral describes it as "Chloroflexi bacterium (groundwater metagenome) tRNA-Val". It matches the Rfam family "tRNA". From Rfam's summary of the family: Transfer RNA (tRNA) molecules are approximately 80 nucleotides in length. Their secondary structure includes four short double-helical elements and three loops (D, anti-codon, and T loops). Further hydrogen bonds mediate the characteristic L-shaped molecular structure. tRNAs have two regions of fundamental functional importance: the anti-codon, which is responsible for specific mRNA codon recognition, and the 3' end, to which the tRNAs corresponding amino acid is attached (by aminoacyl-tRNA synthetases). tRNAs cope with the degeneracy of the genetic code in two manners: having more than one tRNA (with a specific anti-codon) for a particular amino acid; and 'wobble' base-pairing, i.e. permitting non-standard base-pairing at the 3rd anti-codon position. The record is from RNAcentral. Lineage: Bacteria; Bacillati; Chloroflexota. RNAcentral also lists the same sequence under 2 other names.